Molecule: ribosomal RNA, 924 nt
Filed under: Cladosporium herbarum
Lineage: Eukaryota; Fungi; Ascomycota; Dothideomycetes; Cladosporiales; Cladosporiaceae
Description: LSU rRNA
Rfam family: Eukaryotic large subunit ribosomal RNA
Source: RNAcentral
ACCCGCUGAACUUAAGCAUAUCAAUAAGCGGAGGAAAAGAGACCAACAGGGAUUGCUCUAGUAACGGCGAGUGAAGCAGCAAUAGCUCAAAUUUGAAAUCUGGCGUCUUCGACGUCCGAGUUGUAAUUUGUAGAGGAUGCUUCUGAGUGGCCACCGACCUAAGUUCCUUGGAACAGGACGUCAUAGAGGGUGAGAAUCCCGUAUGCGGUCGGAAAGGCGCUCUAUACGUAGCUCCUUCGACGAGUCGAGUUGUUUGGGAAUGCAGCUCUAAAUGGGAGGUAAAUUUCUUCUAAAGCUAAAUAUUGGCCAGAGACCGAUAGCGCACAAGUAGAGUGAUCGAAAGAUGAAAAGCACUUUGGAAAGAGAGUUAAAAAGCACGUGAAAUUGUUAAAAGGGAAGGGAUUGCAACCAGACUUGCUCGCGGUGUUCCGCCGGUCUUCUGACCGGUCUACUCGCCGCGUUGCAGGCCAGCAUCGUCUGGUGCCGCUGGAUAAGACUUGAGGAAUGUAGCUCCCUCGGGAGUGUUAUAGCCUCUUGUGAUGCAGCGAGCGCCGGGCGAGGUCCGCGCUUCGGCUAGGAUGCUGGCGUAAUGGUCGUAAUCCGCCCGUCUUGAAACACGGACCAAGGAGUCUAACAUCUAUGCGAGUGUUCGGGUGUCAAACCCCUACGCGUAAUGAAAGUGAGCGGAGGUGAGAACCGCAAGGUGCAUCAUCGACCGAUCCUGAUGUCUUCGGAUGGAUUUGAGUAAGAGCAUAGCUGUUGGGACCCGAAAGAUGGUGAACUAUGCCUGAAUAGGGUGAAGCCAGAGGAAACUCUGGUGGAGGCUCGCAGCGGUUCUGACGUGCAAAUCGAUCGUCAAAUUUGGGUAUAGGGGCGAAAGACUAAUCGAACCAUCUAGUAGCUGGUUCCUGCCGAAGUUUCCCU